AUUGAACGCUGGCGGAAUGCUUUACACAUGCAAGUCGAGCGGCAGCGCGGGGCAACCUGGCGGCGAGCGGCGAACGGGUGAGUAAUACAUCGGAACGUGCCCAGACGUGGGGGAUAACUACUCGAAAGAGUGGCUAAUACCGCAUACGAUCUAAGGAUGAAAGCGGGGGAUCGCAAGACCUCGCGCGUCUGGAGCGGCUGAUGUCGGAUUAGCUAGUUGGUGGGGUAAAGGCCCACCAAGGCGACGAUCCGUAGCUGGUCUGAGAGGAUGAUCAGCCACACUGGGACUGAGACACGGCCCAGACUCCUACGGGAGGCAGCAGUGGGGAAUAUUGGACAAUGGGCGAAAGCCUGAUCCAGCCAUGCCGCGUGAGUGAUGAAGGCCUUAGGGUUGUAAAGCUCUUUCAGUGGGGAUGAUAAUGACAGUACCCACAGAAGAAGCCCCGGCUAACUUCGUGCCAGCAGCCGCGGUAAA
This 474-nucleotide ribosomal RNA is filed under the name uncultured bacterium. Its description in RNAcentral is "bacterial SSU rRNA". It matches the Rfam family "Bacterial small subunit ribosomal RNA", at positions 29 to 524 of the family's 1533-position model. The record is from RNAcentral.